Molecule: small nuclear RNA, 160 nt
Filed under: Penaeus monodon (black tiger shrimp)
Lineage: Eukaryota; Metazoa; Arthropoda; Malacostraca; Decapoda; Penaeidae
Description: U1 spliceosomal RNA
Rfam family: U1 spliceosomal RNA
About the family: U1 is a small nuclear RNA (snRNA) component of the spliceosome (involved in pre-mRNA splicing).
Source: RNAcentral
AUACUUACUGGCACAGGAGAUACCGUGAUCACGAAGGCGGUUCUCCUAAGGCGAGGCUCAUCAUUGCACUCGGUGUCGCUGACCCUUGCGAUUACCCAAAUGUGGUUAACUCGAGUGCGCAAUUUUUGUAAGCGGGGGACUCCGUUCGCGCUAUCCCCCU